AGUGAACGCUGGCGGUAGGCCUAACACAUGCAAGUCGAACGGCAGCACAGUAAGAGCUUGCUCUUACGGGUGGCGAGUGGCGGACGGGUGAGGAAUAUAUCGUAAUCUACUUUUUCGGGGGGGAUAACGUAGGGAAACUUACUCUAAUACCGCAUACGACCUACGGGUGAAAGCAGGGGAACUUCGGACCUGGCGCGAUUGAAUGAGCCGAUGUCGGGUUAGCUAGUUGGGGGGGUAAAGGCCCACCAAGGCGACGAUCCGUAGCAGGGCUGAGAGGGGGAGCCGCCCCGAGGGAACUGAGGGCCGCACCGGGAUCCUACGGCGGGCAGGAGUGGGGAAGAAGGGAGCAGGGGCGCAAGCUGGACACAGCCCUGACGCGUGGGUGAAGAAGGCCUUCGGGUUGUAAAGCGCUUUUGGUGGGAAAGAAGAGCAGCAGGUUAAUACCCCGCUGUUCUGACGGUACGCAAAGAAUAAGCACCGGAUAUACUCG
This 490-nucleotide ribosomal RNA is filed under the name uncultured bacterium. Its description in RNAcentral is "partial 16S ribosomal RNA". It matches the Rfam family "Bacterial small subunit ribosomal RNA", at positions 30 to 505 of the family's 1533-position model. The record is from RNAcentral.